RNAcentral lists this ribosomal RNA (253 nucleotides) under uncultured prokaryote. RNAcentral's name for it is "partial 16S ribosomal RNA". It matches the Rfam family "Bacterial small subunit ribosomal RNA", at positions 524 to 776 of the family's 1533-position model. The record is from RNAcentral.
UACAGAGGGUGCGAGCGUUAAUCGGAAUUACUGGGCGUAAAGGGCGCGUAGGCGGGCUGAUAAGUCAGAUGUGAAAGUCCUGGGCUUAACCUGGGGAUUGCAUUUGAAACUGUUAGUCUGGAGUGAAGUAGAGGGUGGCGGAAUUUCCGGUGUAGCGGUGAAAUGCGUAGAUAUCGGAAGGAACACCAGUGGCGAAGGCGGCCACCUGGACUUUAACUGACGCUGAGGCGCGAAAGCGUGGGGAGCGAACAGG